UUACAGCUUUCAGCAAUUGAGUAAAGUAUACUCCUGUGAAAAAAAUUUAGAGCAUAUUUGUUUCUCUAUACCUGAUUUCUCUGGAAUUUGGAAACUAGUUAUAUCACCUCUUGUCGAAACUCAAGAGUCACGAAUGGCCCUCGCCAUAUUGAUGCUUUCUGAAUGAGCUCCUCUCUACUCUGACUGCAAGAGACCCUCAUAAGUAGGUGGGAAUAUCAUCGCCUCUAUUCAGCCUGAAGAAGUUACAGAAGAUGGAUCUUUGUCCUUCUGCAACCCUUAGGAUUAAGACUUUCUUAUAAAAGAAAGGGGGGAAAUGUCAGAGAUGUGUGACAUGGACAAAAAGCUCCCCAUGGUGGAAAGAGGAGUCAGAAAACACCUAGACAAUGAGAGCAAGAUGGGGGACCCAAAACGGUGCCCUGGCAUAGGCAGGUGGUGAAACCAGCCAUCUGGCCCUGUGCCCUGUCCUCAGAAGUGCCCCUGCCACCCCAGCAGGUACAUUUGCAGGUGAAGAUUUUUCUUUCAUUUUAGUGUCCUGGAAACCAAGUAUUUUCUGUUGGUGGUGUCUCUCUUGCACCAGGUGAAUAUUUGCCUGGCUUACCUGAGACUUAGACCAUCCUAAUUUCAACCUCCACUGACACAAACUAGGUUGGUUCACAACAGGCUGCCAUAAAAUUUCUCAUUUUUUUCUGCGUUUGAAAUGUGUAACUUUUGAUUUACUUCCUAAGUAAGACUUCCUGAGUUGGGAGCUCUGAAAAGUUCCAUUAAAAAAUAAUGGAAUUGUCAAACUUUUGAGCAAAGUAUCAAUGUCAGUUCUAAAUCUUUGAAUUUAAUUUCUUCUUUUAGGGGACUCUUGGAAAGGGAAAAUAUGAUCUUACUACAUUGACCAUGCAAAUUCUGAGGUUCAUAUUGAAUCUAAAGUCAUUAGAAAAUGUAAAUCUCAAUAAAAUCCCUAAUACUAAAUACUCAUAGAUAUGUAUAUA
Molecule: non-coding RNA, 980 nt
Organism: Macaca mulatta (Rhesus monkey)
Lineage: Eukaryota; Metazoa; Chordata; Mammalia; Primates; Cercopithecidae
Source: RefSeq, a predicted model, not a curated record